UACCAUGGUUUUAACGGGUAACGGGGAAUUAGGGUUCGAUUCCGGAGAGGGAGCCUGAGAAACGGCUACCACAUCCAAGGAAGGCAGCAGGCGCGCAAAUUACCCAAUCCCGACACGGGGAGGUAGUGACAAUAAAUAACAAUAUGGGGCUCUUACGAGUCUUGUAAUUGGAAUGAGUACAAUUUAAAUCUCUUAACGAGGAACAAUUGGAGGGCAAGUCUGGUGCCAGCAGCCGCGGUAAUUCCAGCUCCAAUAGCGUAUAUUAAAGUUGUUGCAGUUAAAAAGCUCGUAGUUGAAUUUCGGGAUUUAUCCGUCGGUCGGGCUUUUGGGUCUGUACUGGCGUGAUGGAUUCCUACCUUCUGAAUAACUGGCAUGUCAUUAAUUUGGUGCGCCGGGGAAGCAGGACUGCUACCUUGAAAAAAUUAGAGUGCUUAAAGCAGGCUUAUGCCUGAAUACAUUAGCAUGGAAUAAUGAAAUAGGACGGCAUGGUUCUAUUUUGUUGGUUUCUAGGAUCACCGUAAUGAUUAAUAGGGAUAGUUGGGGGCAUUAGUAUUCAAUUGUCAGAGGUGAAAUUCUUGGAUUUAUUGAAGACUAACUUCUGCGAAAGCAUUUGCCAAGGAUGUUUUCAUUAAUCAAGAACGAAAGUUAGGGGAUCGAAGACGAUCAGAUACCGUCGUAGUCUUAACCAUAAACUAUGCCGACUAGGGAUCGGACGAUGUUAAUUUUUUAAUGACUCGUUCGGCGCCUUACGGGAAACCAAAGUGUUU
RNAcentral lists this ribosomal RNA (767 nucleotides) under uncultured Acaulospora. Its description in RNAcentral is "SSU rRNA". It matches the Rfam family "Eukaryotic small subunit ribosomal RNA", at positions 342 to 1108 of the family's 1831-position model. Lineage: Eukaryota; Fungi; Glomeromycota; Glomeromycetes; Diversisporales; Acaulosporaceae. The record is from RNAcentral.